Molecule: ribosomal RNA, 484 nt
Filed under: uncultured bacterium
Lineage: Bacteria
Description: partial 16S ribosomal RNA
Rfam family: Bacterial small subunit ribosomal RNA
Source: RNAcentral
GACGAACGCUGGCGGCGUGCUUAACACAUGCAAGUCGAACGAUGAAGCCGGAGCUUGCUCUGGUGAAUUAGUGGCGAACGGGUGAGUAACACGUGAGUAACCUGCCCUUGACUCUGGGAUAACUGCGGGAAACUGUAGCUAAUACCGGAUACGACCCUCGGAGGCAUCUCUUGGGGGUGGAAAGAAUUUCGGUCAAGGAUGGACUCGCGGCCUAUCAGCUAGUUGGUGAGGUAAAGGCUCACCAAGGCGACGACGGGUAGCCGGCCUGAGAGGGUGACCGGCCACACUGGGACUGGGACACGGCCCAGACUCCUACGGGAGGAAGCAGUGGGGAAUAUUGCACAAUGGGCGCAAGCCUGAUACAGCAACGCCGCGUGAGGGAUGACGGCCUUCGGGUGGUAAACCGCUUUUAGCAGGGAAGAAGCGAAAGUGACGGUACCUGCAGAAAAAGCACCGGCUAACUACGUGCCAGCCGCCGCCGUAA